CCUACGGGAGGCAGCAGUGGGGAAUAUUGCGCAAUGGGGGCAACCCUGACGCAGCAACGCCGCGUGAUUGAAGAAGGCCUUCGGGUUGUAAAGAUCUUUAAUCGGGGACGAAGGUUGACGGUACCCGAAGAAUAAGCGCCGGCUAACUACGUGCCAGCAGCCGCGGUAAUACGUAGGGAGCAAGCGUUAUCCGGAUUUACGGGGGGGAAAGGGCGUGUAGGCGGGCCGGCAAGCCAGAAGUGAAAUCUGGGGGCUUAACCCCCAAACUGCUUUUGGAACUGCGUGUCUUGAGUGAUGGAGCGGCAGGCGGCAUUCCCCGUGUAGCGGUUCUAUGCGUCGAUCUUGGGAGGCACACCAGUGGCGACGGCGGCCUGCUGGACAUUACCUGCCGCUGCGGCGCGAAAGCGUGGGGAGCAACCAGGCUUAGAUACCCCUGUAGUC
RNAcentral lists this ribosomal RNA (441 nucleotides) under uncultured bacterium. RNAcentral's name for it is "partial 16S ribosomal RNA". It matches the Rfam family "Bacterial small subunit ribosomal RNA", at positions 338 to 795 of the family's 1533-position model. The record is from RNAcentral.